Molecule: ribosomal RNA, 468 nt
Filed under: uncultured bacterium
Lineage: Bacteria
Description: partial 16S ribosomal RNA
Rfam family: Bacterial small subunit ribosomal RNA
Source: RNAcentral
GAUGAACGCUGGCGGCGUGCUUAACACAUGCAAGUCGAACGGAAAGGCCCAAGCUUGCUUGGGUACUCGAGUGGCGAACGGGUGAGUAACACGUGGGUGAUCUGCCCUGCACUUCGGGAUAAGCCUGGGAAACUGGGUCUAAUACCGGAUAGGACGAUGGUUUGGAUGCCAUUGUGGAAAGUUUUUUCGGUGUGGGAUGAGCUCGCGGCCUAUCAGCUUGUUGGUGGGGUAAUGGCCUACCAAGGCGUCGACGGGUAGCCGGCCUGAGAGGGUGUACGGCCACAUUGGGACUGAGAUACGGCCCAGACUCCUACGGGAGGCAGCAGUGGGGAAUAUUGCACAAUGGGCGCAAGCCUGAUGCAGCGACGCCGCGUGGGGGAUGACGGCCUUCGGGUUGUAAACUCCCUUCGCUAGGGGCGAAGCGUUUUUGUGACGGUACCUGGAGAAGAAGCACCGGCUAACUACGUG